This 570-nucleotide long non-coding RNA is filed under the name Phasianus colchicus (ring-necked pheasant). RNAcentral's name for it is "lncRNA (ENSPCLG00000019843.1)". Lineage: Eukaryota; Metazoa; Chordata; Aves; Galliformes; Phasianidae. The record is from RNAcentral.
GGGGGGGGGAAAGGGGGGGGGGAGGGAAAUGUCACCCGGCGGGCGCGGUGCUGAGGGACGGAGCGAGGGGACGGAGGGACGGGGAGCGCCGCCGGCUGUCAAGCAGAGCAGUUGCCAAGUGAUCUUCUCCACAGCACCCACGAACUUUGGCCUUACACUGAAGAGGACUCAUCAAAUGCCUUGGGAGAUACAACACAGAAUUGGAAGAGAAGCAUGGAUCUACACGAAGAGCAGUCCGCUGCAUUCUUGGUGUGUGGAGGAACGGGUCCUGUGCUCACUGUUGUUACUCCCACAUAGGCGGACUCUGUAACUGAUUAUAUGUGGGUAGGGCCCUAUUGAAAUUAAGGAGAUUCUGCAGUAGUGCGGGGUUCUGUUUGUGUGACCCUACUGUGCCUUCUUACUGUGAAUUCUGUCAGUGUAUCAUGGGUUGUGCUGGAACCUGCCUUUUGGGAUAAUGUAAGUUCUGCUUUUCCCCCAACUGUACUUUAGACGUGAAAUAAUCAUUAAAAAAAAAAAAAAAGUUUUGAAUUAGAAAAUAAAUAUAAUUUACAUGCAUUCUUUUAAUUAUGU